RNAcentral lists this ribosomal RNA (443 nucleotides) under uncultured bacterium. RNAcentral's name for it is "partial 16S ribosomal RNA". It matches the Rfam family "Bacterial small subunit ribosomal RNA", at positions 338 to 795 of the family's 1533-position model. The record is from RNAcentral.
CCUACGAGAGGCAGCAGUGGGGAAUAUUGGGCAAUGGGCGCAAGUCUGACCCAGCAACGCCGCGUGAAGGAAGAAGGCUUUCGGGUUGUAAACUUCUUUUCUCAGGGACGAAGCAAGUGACGGUACCUGAGGAAUAAGCCACGGCUAACUACGUGCCAGCAGCCGCGGUAAUACGUAGGUGGCAAGCGUUAUCCGGAUUUACUGGGUGUAAAGGGCGUGUAGGCGGGGACGCAAGUCAGAGGUGAAAACCACGGGCUCAACCUGUGGCCUGCAUUUGAAACUGUGUUUCUUGAGUGCUGGAGAGGCAGACGGAAUUCCUAGUGUAGAGGUGGAAUGCGUAGAUAUUAGGAGGAACACCAGUGGCGAAGGCGGUCUGCUGGACAGCAACUGACGCUGAGGCGCGAAAGCGUGGGGAGCAAACAGGAGUAGAUACCCCAGUAGUC